GUUUGAUCAUGGCUCAGAUUGAACGCUGGCGGCAGGCCUAACACAUGCAAGUCGAACGGUAACAUUUCUAGCUUGCUAGAAGAUGACGAGUGGCGGACGGGUGAGUAAUGCUUGGGAACUUGCCUUUGCGAGGGGGAUAACAGUUGGAAACGACUGCUAAUACCGCAUAACGUCUACGGACCAAACGGGGCUUAGGCUCCGGCGCAAAGAGAGGCCCAAGUGAGAUUAGCUAGUUGGUAAGGUAAUGGCUUACCAAGGCAACGAUCUCUAGCUGUUCUGAGAGGAAGAUCAGCCACACUGGAACUGAGACACGGUCCAGACUCCUACGGGAGGCAGCAGUGGGGAAUAUUGCACAAUGGGGGAAACCCUGAUGCAGCCAUGCCGCGUGUGUGAAGAAGGCCUUCGGGUUGUAAAGCACUUUCAGUUGUGAGGAAAAGUUAGUAGUUAAUACCUGCUAGCCGUGACGUUAACAACAGAAGAAGCACCGGCUAACUCCGUGCCAGCAGCCGCGGUAAUACGGAGGGUGCGAGCGUUAAUCGGAAUUACUGGGCGUAAAGCGCACGCAGGCGGUUUGUUAAGCUAGAUGUGAAAGCCCCGGGCUCAACCUGGGAUAGUCAUUUAGAACUGGCAGACUAGAGUCUUGGAGAGGGGAGUGGAAUUCCAGGUGUAGCGGUGAAAUGCGUAGAUAUCUGGAGGAACAUCAGUGGCGAAGGCGACUCCCUGGCCAAAGACUGACGCUCAUGUGCGAAAGUGUGGGUAGCGAACAGGAUUAGAUACCCUGGUAGUCCACACCGUAAACGCUGUCUACUAGCUGUUUGUGACUUUAAGUCGUGAGUAGCGAAGCUAACGCGCUAAGUAGACCGCCUGGGGAGUACGGCCGCAAGGUUAAAACUCAAAUGAAUUGACGGGGGCCCGCACAAGCGGUGGAGCAUGUGGUUUAAUUCGAUGCAACGCGAAGAACCUUACCUACACUUGACAUGCUGAGAACUUUCUAGAGAUAGAUUGGUGCCUUCGGGAACUCAGACACAGGUGCUGCAUGGCUGUCGUCAGCUCGUGUCGUGAGAUGUUGGGUUAAGUCCCGCAACG
RNAcentral lists this ribosomal RNA (1086 nucleotides) under Odontella aurita. RNAcentral's name for it is "partial Bacterial small subunit ribosomal RNA". It matches the Rfam family "Bacterial small subunit ribosomal RNA", at positions 11 to 1094 of the family's 1533-position model. The record is from RNAcentral. Lineage: Eukaryota; Bacillariophyta; Thalassiosirophyceae; Eupodiscales; Odontellaceae.